RNAcentral lists this ribosomal RNA (912 nucleotides) under uncultured Mycoplasma sp. Its description in RNAcentral is "bacterial SSU rRNA". It matches the Rfam family "Bacterial small subunit ribosomal RNA", at positions 107 to 1012 of the family's 1533-position model. Lineage: Bacteria; Bacillati; Mycoplasmatota; Mollicutes; Mycoplasmatales; Mycoplasmataceae. The record is from RNAcentral.
UAGAGUAACACGUACUUAACAUGCCCUCUAGAUUGGAAUAACRAUUAGAAAUGAUCGCUAAUGCCGGAUACUUAUUUCCUUCGCAUGAAGGAUAUAUAAAAGGAGCGUUUGCUUCGCUAGAGGAUUGGGGUGCGUAACAUUAGCUAGUUGGUAGGGUAAUGGCCUACCAAGGCUAUGAUGUUUAGCGGGGUUGAGAGACUGAUCCGCCACACUGGGACUGAGAUACGGCCCAGACUCCUACGGGAGGCAGCAGUAGGGAAUUUUCCACAAUGGACGAAAGUCUGAUGGAGCGACACAGCGUGCAGGAUGACGGCCUUCGGGUUGUAAACUGCUGUUAUAAGGGAAGAAAAAAUAAAGUAGGAAAUGACUUUAUCUUGACGGUACCUUGUCAGAAAGCAACGGCUAACUAUGUGCCAGCAGCCGCGGUAAUACAUAGGUUGCAAGCGUUAUCCGGAAUUAUUGGGCGUAAAGCGUCUGUAGGUUGUUUGUUAAGUCUGACGUGAAAACUUGGGGCUCAACCCCAAAUUGCGUUGGAUACUGGCAAACUAGAGUUAUGAAGAGGUUAGCGGAAUUCCUUGUGAAGCGGUGAAAUGCGUAGAUAUAAGGAAGAACACCAACUUGGCGAAGGCAGCUAACUGGGCAUACACUGACACUGAGAGACGAAAGCGUGGGGAGCAAACAGGAUUAGAUACCCUGGUAGUCCACGCUGUAAACGAUGAUGAUUAGCUGAUGGGGAACUCAUCGGCACAGCUAACGCAUUAAAUCAUCCGCCUGAGUAGUAUGCUCGCAAGAGUGAAACUUAAAGGAAUUGACGGGGAUCCGCACAAGCGGUGGAGCAUGUGGUUUAAUUUGAAGAUACGCGUAGAACCUUACCCACUCUUGACAUCUUUCGCAAAGCUAUAGAGAUAUAGU